UGAGGCAGCGUUUUGUAGCAAUACAAACAGGCAUAAACAGCAGACUUGUGAGGUGUUAAGUAACAAGAAAAGAAACUUACUUGUUUGUUGUAUCUUGAAGUGAACCAGAAUCUGAAAAAAAUGGAUAUCAAACACAUUUUGUUAAAUAAAAGAUUGUUCCUCUACAUCACAUCACCUAAAAUAAUGGUUGCUGCUUUUGCUCUCUCAAUUGUCCUCAUUUCAAUACUCAUUCUGGACUGCAACCGUGUUGUCGUAAAAAAGGAAUAAUGUAUUUGUUGUUGACUUGUGGGAAGAAAAAGGAGUGCAAAGAUUGUAUCAAAAGCAAGCAAACUAUGAUCGAGAUGAUUGUGUAGAUUGUUGCAAAGGAGAAAAUGGCGAGAAAAAGAGAUCUAGAGCGCAGAGAUCCAGAUCAAGUCUUGGAUAUCAAGCUGGAGAGAAUAAGGUGAAAUCAAAAGAGAGAGCAGAAUGCAGAGUGUUACCGCAAGCGAAGACAUGACACAAACAAGAUGUCAAUAAGACAAAAUAUGAAUUUAGUAUGCAUGAACUGUAUCUAAAUACAAAGGACAGAUCCUUGCAGACAGCCCGCUAUUAAAGAGAGUUUGUACAGCGCCGCCUAAAACUACUAUUAAAAGAGUAGCGAGAGACUUGCCGAGUGGAAAUCGAAUUCGUGUAAUAAAAAUUAAUGCCCAACAAAGUU
Long non-coding RNA from Xenia sp. Carnegie-2017, 697 nucleotides. RefSeq lists it as uncharacterized. The record is from RefSeq and is a predicted model, not a curated record. NCBI's taxonomy places the organism in Eukaryota, Metazoa, Cnidaria, Anthozoa, Malacalcyonacea, Xeniidae. The transcript is spliced from 2 exons.